Molecule: long non-coding RNA, 950 nt
Filed under: Monodelphis domestica (gray short-tailed opossum)
Lineage: Eukaryota; Metazoa; Chordata; Mammalia; Didelphimorphia; Didelphidae
Description: lncRNA (ENSMODG00000047339.1)
Source: RNAcentral
CCCACAUUUUCAAAGAGGACCAAUGACAUCAUGGGGCAAUGUCUUGAUUUGUGCCUGAAUUCGAUUGAAGUGAGGCGGAAAGACACAGUCACUCUCUCCCAGAGUCAUCAAAGUCCAAUGGCAAUACACAAUUCUGGAUGCCUGGCAAUGGGUGGUCUUAUAUACCAAGAGGAUAUUGAUUUAGAAAUUUCUUUCUGCCAGGUAAUCAGGCCCUGGACCCUGCCAUAGGAGUUCAUCCUUCCUAAGUGUUACCAGCUGGCUUCCCAAGAGAAGGUGAUUUUUCCCCCUUCCUGCUGUCACACUCAUUAUGACAGUACCUUACAGCCUCCCCUUUGUUCGAAUGGCAGUUAUUACAUUGGGCUUAAUGAAAAGGGAACUAACAAGUAUAACUAAUCUGAUUAGUCCAAAUGAAUUAUCACUUUCUGUAGGAGAACAUGCUCAGUAGGGAAAGUGUUUAGACCAAUGCUGGGCUUCAAACACCAUCACAUCCUGCAAUGGGCCUGGGAAAAGCCUAGUGUCGUGGCGAUAUACAUCUAUACUUCUCAGGUCCUAGGUCAGCCCUCUAGGGUCAAGCAACUCCUUCCUCCACAUGGCAGUCCAUUAAAUACUUGAGGAAAGUAUGUGGUCCCUUCUCUUCUUCAGCCUAAAUGUCCCCAGGUGCCUGAACAUGGAUUGGUGUAGCAAGAGAGCUAAAAAUCUCACCAUCAGAAAAUGUGGAUUGGAAUUCCAGUACAGGUGCUUUUUAUUUCUGCAAAAACAUUUCAAUGUCAUGCAAUCAAAAUUGUUCAUUUUACCUCUUCUGCAAGUCUUCUCAGCUAUAGAUCUGAAAGGUAACAUCUUCCUUGAUCUUCUAAUUUGUUUAAGAUGUACUGACAUAGAUUUUUGGGGUAUAUAUUAGAGAUGGAAGCAAAGGCAAAUAAUGGAAGAUAAAUAGAAAGGCAUGAGUCUUU